UACAGAGGGGGCAAGCGUUGUUCGGAAUUACUGGGCGUAAAGGGCGCGUAGGCGGCCCACUAAGUCGAACGUGAAACCCCCGGGCUCAACCCGGGAACUGCGUCCGAUACUGGUGGGCUUGAAUCCGGGAGAGGGAUGCGGAAUUCCAGGUGUAGCGGUGAAAUGCGUAGAUAUCUGGAGGAACACCGGUGGCGAAGGCGGCAUCCUGGACCGGCAUUGACGCUGAGGCGCGAAAGCCAGGGGAGCAAACGGG
RNAcentral lists this ribosomal RNA (253 nucleotides) under uncultured bacterium. RNAcentral describes it as "partial 16S ribosomal RNA". It matches the Rfam family "Bacterial small subunit ribosomal RNA", at positions 524 to 776 of the family's 1533-position model. The record is from RNAcentral.